AAUAGAUAUCCUGGUAGUCCACGCCGUAAACGAUGAGUGCUAAGUGUUAGAGGGUUUCCGCCCUUUAGUGCUGCAGCUAACGCAUUAAGCACUCCGCCUGGGGAGUACGGUCGCAAGACUGAAACUCAAAGGAAUUGACGGGGGCCCGCACAAGCGGUGGAGCAUGUGGUUUAAUUCGAAGCAACGCGAAGAACCUUACCAGGUCUUGACAUCCCACUGACCGGUAUAGAGAUAUACCUUUCCCUUCGGGGACAGUGGUGACAGGUGGUGCAUGGUUGUCGUCAGCUCGUGUCGUGAGAUGUUGGGUUAAGUCCCGCAACGAGCGCAACCCUUGAUCUUAGUUGCCAGCAUUUAGUUGGGCACUCUAAGGUGACUGCCGGUGACAAACCGGAGGAAGGUGGGGAUGACGUCAAAUCAUCAUGCCCCUUAUGACCUGGGCUACACACGUGCUACAAUGGAUGGUACAAAGGGCUGCAAGACUGCGAAGUCAAGCCAAUCCCAUAAAACCAUUCUCAGUU
This 518-nucleotide ribosomal RNA is filed under the name uncultured bacterium. RNAcentral describes it as "bacterial SSU rRNA". It matches the Rfam family "Bacterial small subunit ribosomal RNA", at positions 777 to 1293 of the family's 1533-position model. The record is from RNAcentral.